This is a long non-coding RNA of Tympanuchus pallidicinctus (lesser prairie-chicken), 2134 nucleotides long. RefSeq lists it as uncharacterized. Lineage: Eukaryota; Metazoa; Chordata; Aves; Galliformes; Phasianidae. The record is from RefSeq and is a predicted model, not a curated record. The transcript is spliced from 5 exons.
AGCAGAUCAUGGCUUUUAUGGGUUUGGAAGCAGCCCUAGCUACUGUCAUCCAUGCCUUUGUUCUCCUCUGACCAAAUUGCUGAGGAAUACUCACAGGAUGAGGCAGCUGGGAGGUGCUGGGGAGUAAACAGUGCAGAGAGCAGCUGGCAUUACCACCUGGAAAACUGAUAGAUGAGCGGCCUUUGGACAGAUUUAGCUUGCAGAGUCUCAACUGUAGUAUAAAUUCUCAGUUUUAGCAAAAACAUCUGCAAUAGCAUGGAGCUUAGAUGCUGGAGAGGCCUGUUCCUGCCCUUGACUUUGUGUGUGCAUGUACGCUGUAUGGGAACUGUUGAGUAACAGCCUGAACCACUGAUUGAGCACCUGAGGAAAGGACUGAGCCAGCCGUGGGAUCACAGGCUAUGGUAGCAAGAGACAAGGAACACUGUGUCCAUCUGUCCAUCACAGAUGAAGGUGGGGAGGACUCUAAGACAAUGCAGAGAUUAAAGGAACUUCUCCCAAGAAGUUAAGAGAGUGCCUUAACAGUUAAGAGAAACACAUCCAAAGUGACCGCGGAGUGAAGGAGGAUGUGAAAUCUUUGCCAUCAUCCUGCAGAGGAUGGAUGAGGGGACCCUGAGCACACAUGAAGUGCAGGUCUGGAUUAGCUGAUCCAAUUAGAGGUAGCUGAAGAUCCCUCUGGUCUGCAAGUAGCCAUGGAAGAUGAUUUCAACCACACCUGAAUUAUCCUACACUCAAAAGAAAGAAUACACAGGUGUAACAGGAGACUCAGCAUGCAUGCCUCCAACCACUAAGAUCAAGCCUAUCAACUACAUUAUAGAAGAGUUUACUUUUGCUGAAUUGUUAUGUUCUGUUUUAGAGGUAUCUUUUCAUCACUGAAGAACACAUCAAAAGAUUUUAGACUUUGACAUUCUUAUCCAGGAUAUGUUUCACAGUCUUUCAUCAGCCACUGAAGCUGGAUUAGCACCAGAAAAUUUUUAACACACACUGUAUGUGCAGAGAAGAGACCAAGGGACCUUUGGCUUACAAAGAAUCUAUAAAAUGUGAUUAUUAAUUUCAAGGUAUCACACAUUUAAAAUAGAGCUCUUCAGCAUUCUUUAUAACUAAAAUAAUGAACUGAUGAAGAGCUGAUGAAGAGCCUGCCUGAAGAUAAUGUCAGAACCCACAAAUAAAAUAACUCACAUAACAACUGAGAUGGACUCAUAAAAACUUCAGAACAGAAAUGAAACCCUGAUUUUCAAUUUAAUCUCCAAACAGUACACUUGCUUCAAUUUACAGUGUAUUAGAGGAGUGGGUAAAAUUAGUCUUUAAAAUCUUCCAUUCCAUUACAGAAAUGGGAAAUAAAAUGUUUACUGGUUUGCAGUUCAGAAGUGAUGGAUGCACGCUAGGCCUCUUCUUAGUAUGUACUGGGCUGUUUUCAAGAAAUGCACAUAAUCUGGAAGCAAAGCUGACAAAACUAUGUUACUGAAAUUGCUUUGAUUCAAACACUGCAAAGGCUGUUUGUAUACUUGAAGAAGUCAGAGCUGGAUGGUGGAGUUUUAACUACUAAAUUUUCCAGUUCUCAUCAUCAGUAUUAGAUGGUGUAUUUAGUCCUAAAGCACGGUUAAAUAUUCCUGGAAAUCUCGGACGAUCCUGUGCUGCAGCUGAAGCCACAGAACACAUCCAGCUCAUGAAAUGAGCUACUCUGCGUUUAAAAAUGGCAAUUUUUGAGAAGUGAAAUCCCUAAAAUUCUUGAAAUAGUUUGUUGAAAUUCUCUGAAAUAUUUGUUUGAAAAUAACGUUGCUGCAUGUAGAAAAUGGUUGCAAAACUGCUCUAAUUUUGAAAUAGCAACACAUUCUAAUGUAUCCAUAUUGCACACAAUUGCCUUUUAUGAGAAGGCUGUAAGAGCAUGACAAAAUUAAUAAUUUCAAUGUUUCAAGAAUUAAUUUAAAAUACAUUUUGCAAGGUUCUUUUAGCUAUUUGUAUAUAUUUUUUUCAUUACAGCAUUACAUCAGAACAUUAAAGAUUCUACCAGAAAGGUGAAAAAGGAAAACAGUUGUGCAAAAUCAGAAUAUAAUGUGAGCUUAUGGUUGCUCUGUGAUUCACUGUAAUGCAUUAUUAAUCCAUAUGUUAGUAAAAUAAAAUAUUUUGAAAAUUGUGA